AAAGCUCAAAUUUCGAAAUCCCCCCGGGGAGUUGUAAUUUGAAGAUUGCGUCUUGGAGGCGACCGUGUCUAUGUUCCUUGGAACAGGACGUCACAGAGGGUGAGAAUCCCGUGCGGCACGGCCCCCGGCUCCUUAUAAGGCGCUCUCGACGAGUCGAGUUGUUUGGGAAUGCAGCUCAAAGUGGGUGGUAAAUUCCAUCUAAAGCUAAAUACAGGCGAGAGACCGAUAGCGAACAAGUACAGUGAUGGAAAGAUGAAAAGCACUUUGAAAAGAGAGUGAAACAGCACGUGAAAUUGUUGAAAGGGAAGGGCAUGCCGUCAGAUUGUCAGUGUGGGUAAGAAGCGGGGUACAAAGACUGUGGAACGUGGCCCUCGGGUGUUAUAGCCGCAGUUCAUGCCCCGUCUCUUUCCGAGGCCUGCUUUGAGGACACCGACGUAAUGACGGUACGCCGCCCGUCUGAACCACCGGGACCAUGCGU
Molecule: ribosomal RNA, 478 nt
Filed under: Kodamaea ohmeri
Lineage: Eukaryota; Fungi; Ascomycota; Pichiomycetes; Serinales; Debaryomycetaceae
Description: eukaryotic LSU rRNA
Rfam family: Eukaryotic large subunit ribosomal RNA
Source: RNAcentral